GACGAACGCUGGCGGCGUGCCUAAUACAUGCAAGUCGAGCGGACCAAAGGGAGCUUGCUCCUGGAGGUUAGCGGCGAACGGGUGAGUAACACGUGGGCAACCUGCCUGUAAGACUGGGAUAACAUCGAGAAAUCGGUGCUAAUACCGGAUAAUAAAAAGAACUGCAUGGUUCUUUUUUGAAAGAUGGUUUCGGCUAUCACUUACAGAUGGGCCGCGGCGCAUUAGCUAGUUGGUGAGGUAACGGCUCACCAAGGCGACGAUGCGUAGCCGACCUGAGAGGGUGAUCGGCCACACUGGGACUGAGACACGGCCCAGACUCCUACGGGAGGCAGCAGUAGGGAAUCUUCCGCAAAUGGACGAAAGUCUGACGGAGCAACGCCGCGUGAGUGAUGAAGGUUUUCGGAUACGUAAAACUCUGUUGUUAGGGAAGAACAAGUGCCGUUACGAAAGGGCGGCUACCUUGACGGUAACCUAACGAAGAAAGACCACGG
Molecule: ribosomal RNA, 491 nt
Filed under: uncultured bacterium
Lineage: Bacteria
Description: bacterial SSU rRNA
Rfam family: Bacterial small subunit ribosomal RNA
Source: RNAcentral